RNAcentral lists this ribosomal RNA (253 nucleotides) under uncultured bacterium. RNAcentral's name for it is "partial 16S ribosomal RNA". It matches the Rfam family "Bacterial small subunit ribosomal RNA", at positions 524 to 776 of the family's 1533-position model. The record is from RNAcentral.
UACGAAGGGGGCGAGCGUUGUUCGGAUUUACUGGGCGUAAAGGGCGCGCAGGCGGCUCAUUUUGUCAGGCGUGAAAGCCCCGGGCUUAACCUGGGAACUGCGUUUGAUACGGAUGGGCUAGAGUUCGGGAGAGGAGAGUGGAAUUCCCAGUGUAGAGGUGAAAUUCGUAGAUAUUGGGAAGAACACCGGUGGCGAAGGCGGCUCUCUGGACCGAGACUGACGCUGAGGCGCGAAAGCGUGGGGAGCAAACAGG